Molecule: ribosomal RNA, 733 nt
Filed under: uncultured fungus
Lineage: Eukaryota; Fungi
Description: eukaryotic LSU rRNA
Rfam family: Eukaryotic large subunit ribosomal RNA
Source: RNAcentral
AGCAUAUCAAUAAGCGGAGGAAAAGAAACUAACAAGGAUUCCCCUAGUAACGGCGAGUGAAGCGGGAUGAGCUCAAAUUUAAAAUCUGGCUGGUUUACUAGUCCGAAUUGUAGUUUAAAGAAGCGUUUUCGGUGGCAGCCUGGGUAUAAAUCCUUUGGAACAGGGUAUCAUAGAGGGUGAGAAUCCCGUCUUUGACUCAGUGCAUGCUACUAUGUGAUACGUUUUCAAAGAGUCGAGUUGUUUGGGAAUGCAGCUCAAAAUGGGUGGUAAAUUUCAUCUAAGGCUAAAUAUUGGCGAGAGACCGAUAGCGAACAAGUACCGUGAGGGAAAGAUGAAAAGAACUUUGAAAAGAGAGUUAAACAGUGCGUGAAAUUGUUGAAAGGGAAACGCUUGACACCAGUCAUGCGAGCGGAAAAUCAGUCUUUUGCAGUGGGGAGUUGUGUGGGUUCGGACCGCAAGGCCGGCCUGCGNUGCAUCUCUGCUGUAAGUGAUGCACUUUUUCGUUUGCAGGCCAACAUCAGUUUCUUCUGCUGGACAAAACUCUUGAGAAGGUAGCAGCUUUGGCUGUGUUAUAGCUCUUGAGCGAUACAGUGGAGGGGACUGAGGUUUUCGCAGCGCGUGCUCUCGGGCAAGGCUGAUUGGGUGCUAUGGGAUCGUUCGGUGUACAAUGCUUGCAUUUUGCGCCGUGUCUUUUCUGUACUCGCUCAACUCGGCUCUUCCGCGCUUAGGAUGU